This 460-nucleotide ribosomal RNA is filed under the name uncultured bacterium. RNAcentral's name for it is "partial 16S ribosomal RNA". It matches the Rfam family "Bacterial small subunit ribosomal RNA", at positions 338 to 795 of the family's 1533-position model. The record is from RNAcentral.
CCUACGGGAGGCAGCAGUGAGGAAUAUUGGUCAAUGGACGAGAGCCUGAACCAGCCAAGUAGCGUGAAGGAUGCCUGCCCUAUGGGUUGUAAACUUCUUUUAUAUGGGAAUAAAAUGUUACACGUGUGGGAUUUUGUAUGUACCAUAUGAAUAAGAAUCGGCUAACUCCGUGCCAGCAGCCGCGGUAAUACGGAGGAUCCGAGCGUUAUCCGGAUUUGUUGGGUUUAAAGGGAGCGUAGGUGGUUUGUUAAGUCAGUUGUGAAAGUUUGCGGAUCAACCGUAAAAUUGCAAUUGAAACUGGCAGUCUUGAGUACAGUAGAGGUAGGCGGAAUUCGUGGUGUAGCGGUGAAAUGCUUAGAUAUCACGAAGAACUCCGAUUGCGAAGGCAGCUCACUGGACUGCAACUGACACUGAGGCUCGAAAGUGUGGGUAUCAAACAGGAUUAGAUACCCUUGUAGUC